Molecule: ribosomal RNA, 723 nt
Filed under: Agonita chinensis
Lineage: Eukaryota; Metazoa; Arthropoda; Insecta; Coleoptera; Chrysomelidae
Description: 12S ribosomal RNA
Source: RNAcentral
AUUUGACCAGAUUCACUUUCCAGUAAAUCUACUUUGUUACGACUUAUUUCAAUUUAUAUGAAAGCGACGGGCGAUAUGUACAUAUUUUAGAGCUAAAUUCAAAAUUAUUAUAUAAUAAUUUUUACUAUCAAAUCCUAAAUUAUUAAUAUUUAAAACAUUAAAUCAUUAUUAAUAUAGUAACCCAUUUCUUCUUAAAUAUAACUAUACCUUGAUCUGAAUUAAAUUUUAAUUAAAAAUAUUAAAUUAUAUAAAUUAUAAAUAAAUUAAACAACGAUAUUUAAGCAAAAUUUAAGUACAUAUAAUCGUGGAUCAUCAAUUAUAGAACAGGUUCCUCUGAAUAGAAUAAAAUACCGCCAUAAACAUUUAUUUUUAAAAAAUAAUUAUUAAUUAUAUAGUCAGAUAUUUAAAUUUUAAUAAUAGAGUAUCUAAUUCUAGUUUUUAAUUAACUUAUUGAAAAUCAUAUAAAAAUCAUUAUUAAUAUAAUAAAAUUUCACCUAAUAUUAUAAAUUUUAAUUUUAAAUUCUAUUAAUCAAAACCAAUAUUAAUUAAAUUGAAUUAUAAGUAUAACCGAGGCUGCUGGCACUUAAUUAGCCAAUUCUAUUUAAAAUUACUAAGUCUAAAAUUAUUUAAUACUUAAUACACAUUAUUGAAACCAAAAAUUUAUAAAAUAUUACCAUAUAAUUUAAUAAUAAACUCAAUUAAAAAGCUAGUUUUUAACUUUAA